This 852-nucleotide ribosomal RNA is filed under the name uncultured Spirochaetota bacterium. RNAcentral's name for it is "bacterial SSU rRNA". It matches the Rfam family "Bacterial small subunit ribosomal RNA", at positions 51 to 883 of the family's 1533-position model. Lineage: Bacteria; Pseudomonadati; Spirochaetota. The record is from RNAcentral.
AAGCAUGCAAGUCGAACGGUAUUAUCGUUUCUAUUUUAUAGAAUGAUAAGAGAGUGCGAAACGGGUGAGUAACACGUAGGUAAUCUGCCUAUCAAAUUGGGAUAGCCAGUGGAAACACUGAGUAAUACCAAAUACGUACUAUGUGAGGAAUUGCAUAGUAGAAAGGGUACAUCUGUGCCGUUGAUAGAGGAGCCUGCGCUUGAUUAGCUAGUUGGUGGGGUAAGAGCCCACCAAGGCGACGAUCAAUAGCCGGCCUGAGAGGGUGAACGGCCACACUGGGACUGAGACACGGCCCAGACUCCUACGGGAGGCAGCAGCUAAGAAUCUUCCGCAAUGGGCGAAAGCCUGACGGAGCGACGCCGCGUGAAUGAAGAAGGCCGUGAGGUUGUAAAAUUCUUUUCUUGUUGAGGAAUAAAUAUUAUGCGCAAGUGUAAUAUGAUGACGGUAGGCAAGGAAUAAGCCCCGGCUAAUUACGUGCCAGCAGCCGCGGUAAUACGUAAGGGGCGAGCGUUGUUCGGAAUUAUUGGGCGUAAAGGGUACGUAGGCGGAUUAACAGGCAUUAAGAUAAAGCCAACAGCUCAACUGUUGUUAAUUUUAAUGAACCGUUAAUCUAGAGUUAUAGAGGGGAAACUGGAAUUCCUGGUGUAAGGGUGAAAUCUGUAGAUAUCAGGAGGAACAUCAGAGGCGAAGGCGAGUUUCUGGCUAAUAACUGACGCUGAGGUACGAAAGCGUGGGGAGCGAACGGGAUUAGAUACCCCGGUAGUCCACGCCGUAAACGAUGUGCACUAGGUGGUGGAUCUGCGAAGAUUCACUACCGUAGCUAACGUGUUAAGUGCACCGCCUGGGGAGUAU